AGGGCCUUAUCUUAAUUAAAGUGUCUGAUUUGCAGUCAGAGGAUGCGAGUUAAGGUCUCGCAGGUCUUA
This 69-nucleotide transfer RNA is filed under the name unidentified. RNAcentral's name for it is "Enteromius sp. Kalwungwishi tRNA-Ala". It matches the Rfam family "tRNA". From Rfam's summary of the family: Transfer RNA (tRNA) molecules are approximately 80 nucleotides in length. Their secondary structure includes four short double-helical elements and three loops (D, anti-codon, and T loops). Further hydrogen bonds mediate the characteristic L-shaped molecular structure. tRNAs have two regions of fundamental functional importance: the anti-codon, which is responsible for specific mRNA codon recognition, and the 3' end, to which the tRNAs corresponding amino acid is attached (by aminoacyl-tRNA synthetases). tRNAs cope with the degeneracy of the genetic code in two manners: having more than one tRNA (with a specific anti-codon) for a particular amino acid; and 'wobble' base-pairing, i.e. permitting non-standard base-pairing at the 3rd anti-codon position. The record is from RNAcentral.